This 494-nucleotide ribosomal RNA is filed under the name uncultured bacterium. RNAcentral's name for it is "partial 16S ribosomal RNA". It matches the Rfam family "Bacterial small subunit ribosomal RNA", at positions 28 to 507 of the family's 1533-position model. The record is from RNAcentral.
GACGAACGCUGGCGGCGUGCUUAACACAUGCAAGUCGAACGGAAAGGCCUGCUUUCCCUUGUGGAUUGCGGGUACUCGAGUGGCGAACGGGUGAGUAACACGUGAGUGAUCUGCCCCCAACUUGGGUAUAAGCCUGGGAAACUGGGUCUAAUUCCCGACAGGACUGCAGGGUGGUGCCUGUGGUGGAAAACGAUUUUCUAGUGGUUGGGGAUGAGCUCGCGGCCUAUCAGCUUGUUGGUGGGGUAAUGGCCUACCAAGGCGGCGACGGGUAGCCGGCCUGAGAGGGUGGACGGCCACAUUGGGACUGAGAUACGGCCCAGACUCCUACGGGAGGCAGCAGUGGGGAAUAUUGCACAAGGGGCGGAAGCCUGAUGCAGCGACGCCGCGUGGGGGAUGACGGCCUUCGGGUUGUAAACUCCUUUCGACCGCGAGGAAGCCACCUGGUUGGAAGGGUGGUGACGGUAGUGGUAGAAGAAGCACCGGCUAACUACGUG